CGGCCUUGACAUACUAAGAACUUUCCAGAGAUGGAUUGGUGCCUUCGGGAACUUAGAUACAGGUGCUGCAUGGCUGUCGUCAGCUCGUGUCGUGAGAUGUUGGGUUAAGUCCCGCAACGAGCGCAACCCUUUUCCUUAUUUGCCAGCGGGUCAUGCCGGGAACUUUAAGGAUACUGCCAGUGACAAACUGGAGGAAGGCGGGGACGACGUCAAGUCAUCAUGGCCCUUACGGCCAGGGCUACACACGUGCUACAAUGGUCGGUACAAAGGGUUGCUACCUCGCGAGAGGAUGCUAAUCUCAAAAAGCCGAUCGUAGUCCGGAUCGCAGUCUGCAACUCGACUGCGUGAAGUCGGAAUCGCUAGUAGUCGCGGAUCAGAAUGCCGCGGUGAAUACGUUCCCGGGCCUUGUACACACCGCCCGUCACACCAUGGGAGUUUGUUGCACCAGAAGUAGGUAGUCUAACCGCAAGGAGGACGCUUACCACGGUGUGGCCGAUGACUGGGGUGAAGUCGUAACAAGGUAGGCGUAGAUGA
RNAcentral lists this ribosomal RNA (534 nucleotides) under uncultured bacterium. RNAcentral describes it as "bacterial SSU rRNA". It matches the Rfam family "Bacterial small subunit ribosomal RNA", at positions 976 to 1509 of the family's 1533-position model. The record is from RNAcentral.